AGACUUUUGGUGCAGUGGUUAAAGCACUUGGCUUCUAACCAAAAGGUUGGGAGUUCAAACCUACCAGGCUCUG
Molecule: transfer RNA, 73 nt
Filed under: Loxodonta africana (African savanna elephant)
Lineage: Eukaryota; Metazoa; Chordata; Mammalia; Proboscidea; Elephantidae
Rfam family: tRNA
About the family: Transfer RNA (tRNA) molecules are approximately 80 nucleotides in length. Their secondary structure includes four short double-helical elements and three loops (D, anti-codon, and T loops).
Source: Rfam by way of RNAcentral